UUCGAAAGGGAUGCUAAUCCCGCAUACGUCCUACGGGAGAAAGCAGGGGAUCUUCGGACCUUGCGCUAAUAGAUGAGCCUAAGUCGGAUUAGCUAGUUGGUGGGGUAAAGGCCUACCAAGGCGACGAUCUGUAGCGGGUCUGAGAGGAUGAUCCGCCACACUGGGACUGAGACACGGCCCAGACUCCUACGGGAGGCAGCAGUGGGGAAUAUUGGACAAUGGGGGGAACCCUGAUCCAGCCAUGCCGCGUGUGUGAAGAAGGCCUUAUGGUUGUAAAGCACUUUAAGCGAGGAGGAGGCUACUUUAGUUAAUACCUAGAGAUAGUGGACGUUACUCGCAGAAUAAGCACCGCAACU
RNAcentral lists this ribosomal RNA (356 nucleotides) under Acinetobacter sp. BZB1. RNAcentral describes it as "bacterial SSU rRNA". It matches the Rfam family "Bacterial small subunit ribosomal RNA", at positions 150 to 502 of the family's 1533-position model. The record is from RNAcentral. Lineage: Bacteria; Pseudomonadati; Pseudomonadota; Gammaproteobacteria; Moraxellales; Moraxellaceae.